AACUCUCGGCAAUGGAUAUCUUAGCUCUCACAUUGAUGACGAACUUAGCGAAAUGCGAUACUUGGUGUGAAUUACAGAAUCACGUGAACCAUCGAGUCUUUGAAUGCAAGUUGUGCUCGAAGCCAUUCGGCCCAGGGCAUGUUUUCUUGGGCCUCA
This is a ribosomal RNA of Diospyros lotus (date-plum), 156 nucleotides long. RefSeq annotates it as 5.8S ribosomal RNA. The transcript has a single exon. NCBI's taxonomy places the organism in Eukaryota, Viridiplantae, Streptophyta, Magnoliopsida, Ericales, Ebenaceae. The record is from RefSeq and is a predicted model, not a curated record.